AAACAAAGUGUCAAUCACUUCUUUACAGAGAUGUUAGUGAUAUACCAGCAAAAGACAUCAGUGAAAUCUUAGGAGUCCACAAGGAAAAGGACUUGAACACCUUUUGAGACACCACAGAACCCCACACUGUGCACAGGAACAAACCACACACACACACCUUGGUUUGAGGGGCUUCAUUUUCUCAGAGCUUUACCAAGUUCAAAGAAAGAAAACAACCACAAGAAAUGACCCCCGCAGAGGUUCUCCAUUGUAGUGAAGUGAAACAGAGGGAUUUUAUCCUCAUUUACCCUGUCUCAAAGAGAAAACAACAACAAAAGGUAUUUUCUUUGCCACAUCCUAGGAGAACAUUCUUCUCUUUCCUAAGGUCAUAUGUGGAGCAAGUUUGGGGUACAGUAUGAGGAUAAUUUGCCUUUCUCCCCAAUUCCCCUUUUCAGUAAAAGAUGCCACUGCUAUUCUAGGCUCCAAAUAACAGUUCCAUGACUCCUCUCCAGCCCUUGCUCCAUUUGUUCACUGACAAAGUGAACCUAACCUUCCUGCCUGCCCCUCCGUGUACCUGUGGGUGCCUAGUGUGGUGCUGAUGAUUAGUGCACAACAAUUUAUGUCCCCAUCUCACACAAAGGCAACCAGGGAGCAACCAGUAGGUGAGUGUGUGAGUGGCAGAGCAGGCCCUGAGCCCACCCUUCCCAGGAGGUGGUCGAGCGACUCUGCCUUGCUCGCUCCUCUUACCUGAUUCUUCUCCUCUGCCCAAGGCACGGUCCCUAGUGCAGGCCCCAAGUGCUCCUCUGCACCAUAGGGAAGGUUCUUCACCUGGUUUUGUUCUGUGGUGCUGGGAAUGGAACUUAUGGCCUUGAGUAAGCUAGGUGAGCACUCUACCGCUGAGUUACGUUCAGAGCUCUGCUCUUAGCUUCCUGACCCACCGCGGCCAGAAUCCUCUCUGUGUGCACAUGUGUGACAAGGAUGACCUCCUUGUUGCUGACAUCUUGCUGGACACAAGGGAGUCCUCUUUCUGGCCACUUCUGUUUGUAGAAACCACACUCCCUGGUUCUCUGCCCACCUCACUCCUCCUUCCGUCCUUUCGUGCUUCCCUCUUCCUCGGCCCCUGGCAGUUUCAAAGGCUGGCUUCCAAAGGUUCUAGCCUCACUCCUUUCUCUUUGAAGCAAACACAACCUCCUUCAAAAAACCCUCAUUGCUUCCUGCAGCUCUAUCUAAUUUCUAUGUAGCCAUUUUUCCCCAUCCUCUCCUGACUUCCAGACUUACAUCUUGAUGGGUCAUUGGCCAUCUCCGUUUGGCUACUUUUCAGCUAUUGCAAAUUAACUCAUCCAAAAUGAACUUAUCCUUUCUAACUCUGCUGAACCCCCAGUCACUAGACAGGACCUACCCACUUGACCAAUUUCCUACAGGCAGCCAACAGAGCCUUCUACACCAUCUCAUCAGAUCCUUCCUAAUCAUAAUGCAUCCCUGGCUGAUCAGUCCUCAGGGUCAACUUCCAACUCCCAAGGGUGGCACUCAGACCCCCAAGAAGUCUUUAUAUUUUAUUGGUUCAUGCCCCUCCAGAAACCUCUACACCCUGCUACAAACUACUUACUUAAGAAUGCCCAUUUCUCAUGUUGCCUCCUUUCCCUAGUUAACUCUGCUUCUCUAGGAAGAUGCAGUUUGGGUACCUUAAACUUCGGGAAACCUUCCCAUAUGUCUCCUCAUCCCGUAAGUGUAGGCAACUAACUGGCUUUAUUAUUGUCUGUCAAGACAACUGUGAACAAUCUGAGGGGCUGUCUUCUGUGGGUGGCCAGCAGCAUAUCAAGCACACAGCAGAUGCUCAGUAAACACAUGCCUGCUUUGCUUGACACUUGCAUAAUCCUGUGCACAAAUAAAAGGACCGAUGUGUGCAACCACUCCGACUCUAGCUUUGCCAUUCAAAAUCCUCCAGGAGGAGAUUACCUCCCUGGCCUUCAAAGGUGUGGCCUGCCCACAACAGCCUGCCUUUCAUUUCUCUCUGGUCUGGAGCUUGUCAGCCCAGCUGCUCUGCUCACACUUCGGGAGCAGCCCUGACAUCUGCUCCUCUCAUCUGAGGGGACACUACACUGGCUCAAGAUGCUCACUCCUUCAAGUGGCAGGCACCUCCUCUCAACCACAUGUGGUGAGGAGUGUCUUUCCUUUCUCAGGGCGUCACGAUGACUCACGGUUACACAACUGUCUAGUGAGCUGGACUGUGAAUUGUUCCUGUUCCCUUUCAUCCACCCCGCAAAUAUUUCCCGAGCACUUGCCCUGUAACAACACCUAAGACUGGGGCUGUGGCUUAGAUCCUGACUAUCCCUCAAAGGCUCAUGUGUUCAAAGACGGUCCCUCCCAAUCAGGAUGAUGCUUUUGGUCCUAUGAAUGUCACAUUCCUCCUUUGUCCCCUACAUAUUCCUUGAGGAAUGGCUAUGAGAGCUUAGGCAGCGGGGCACGGGGUCAAGGGAUGCAGUGUGCCUUUAAGAGAUGGAAACGAGUAAGAGGUCUUUAGGUCAUCUUGGGUAUCUUCUCAGGCUCUUUCCUUUCUCUUUAUUUUGCUCUGGGCCAAGAAGCAGUGAUCUCACUUUACCACACGCUCCUGCCAUGUGUUGCCUCACCGUAAGCCUAAAGCAACAAGGCUAAAUGAUCAUGGGCCAAAAUCUCCAAAAUGGUGAGCCAAAAUAAAUGAGCCCUUCUCUUAUUAUAAGUCAGAUAUUUCAGAUAUUCCCUUGCAGCAUCAGGGAUAUGUCAAUGGAUAUGUUAAAGUCAUAUCCUCAAAGGGAGGUGGUCUAGAACCAAGCAAAGCAGGGGAGCAGAAUUAUACUAAUAUUUUCAACUGAAGGGAAAGCAGACUAUGGCAGAAAAGCACCAUGAAAUCAGGAUGGGGCGGUGGCAAAGAGAGGGAGCAGGGCGCAAGGAGAUCGAAUUUCCACCGCAACACUUUCAAGUUACUUCAUUUCUACAUAAAUCCUAGUUCCUCUGCUCCCAACAACCCCAUCAGGAAUUCUGCUCCCACUGUGUCCCUGUAGCCCUUUAUAAGUGACUCAGGGACAAUUUUCACCAAGCCAGUAGAGGUGGACCGUACAGGCCUGAACUGGGCCCAGCUCCCAGAUGCAGCCUUUAGGGCACACCAGGGGGAUCAGUGAGGAAAUAUGAGGGUCACAUUCCUAAGAAACUGCAAGCCCUGAAGAAGCACCAUGCCCAGGGGCUCACACAGUAGUGGGUGCUCAACAGGUAACACAGCACUCCGAUAAGGUAUCAUGCCUAUACAUGGAAACAACUCUAAAUAGGCCUCCAUGACCAUCUACAACUCUGCUCUUGGUUUCCUGUCCUAGAAAAUGGGGUCCUUAAACUCUGCUCAUCUCUUCAGAGACAUUAGCAUUUUUGUGGCUGGACAGGGCAAUCCAGGGAAUUCUGGAGAAGCAGUGUUGGGCAAUGGAAGACACUGUCUCCAGUCAGCACCCUAAUUGCAGGAAGAAACCCUUUGGCCUGGAAGCAGGAACUCCAGUCUGGAUACGAGAAAGCUGAAGCCAGGUAUCUUAGCCAACAUGCCCACAGGUUCCUGUGCUGGGGCCUUGGCAGACUGCAGUGUGUGCCCUCAGGCCCUCAGCAGGACAGGCCUGUGAGAAGUGCCGACCUGCCAGCCCCAAGCUCCCUGGCUACCUCCAAUCUCAGACAAUGGUCCUUGCCACUCUUCCUGAGAAGGCUUUCUGUUUCUAGAGAUACAAGAACCUCUGUAUCUCUUCAGAGAACUGUGAUGUGACAUCUAUAAGCAACAGUUCUGGCAGCCCAUAAGAAGACCUGUGAAGUACUUGAGGACUUAGGCCCACCCUCUUCUGCCUAAACCAAAGCUUGUCAUGUGACGGCAAGCCAGAACAAUCAAAGUCUUUACUCCAUCACUACAACCAUUUUGUUGUAGUGAGGUAUAGCAUCAUCUGAAAAUUACACAUAGGCUAAGAAAAAUGUAACGUGUGUGAGGACCUUAGUACUUUUCUAGGCUCCCAGACAUCUUUCUCUCGACUGGGGAGUUUCAGGACCUCCCUUUACAGAGGGAGGCCAGGGACUCCCUCUCUCCGCACCUAAGUAGCAGAUGACCUAGGUCAAGUGAGCACCUUUUCAGAGCUGCCCUGGAGCAAGUGAAACAAGAAGCAAGGCCCCAAACCUGGAUCUCGUCAGAGCCAGUGGUGCCCUGCUAUGCUGUUCCCAUGGCAUGCCCAGAUCAGAGGGGACAGCUGCCCAGCGUCCCUUGGCUCCUGACUCUGGCCCAAUCUUAAAGUGCUCUAUUUCCUUCCAAUAAGCCCUACUUCUGCUUGAAGACUGACUUCUGCUGUCCAUGGCCUGAUAGCCCCACCUGCUCCACUGAGGCGAAACGGCCCCCAGACCUUCAGGGAGCUGCCCAGGGAUGCACAGAUUAGGCAGGUGGCUCAUCUGGGUGACAGCGGCAGCCCCUAAGGGAGCAUUCAUCAAUACAGGUACAAAUGGUGCAGCGCCGUGACGCUGGGUGGAUUCCUACCUUGCCUGUACUCUGACCAUCACUGAUGGCCACCCAAGCCCCGCUCAUUCAUUUCCUAGCUGCCUGGCUCUACGCUGUCAUUUAACUUCCUUGACUCUUGUUUUUUCUUCUGUAAUAAAGGAGUGUUAAUAACGGUCAUGUCCACUUUGCAGGGCUAUUCUGAAGAACUAAAACCAACAAAAUACCACGAACAAAAUCCCCAGCAACGUGCUCUGUGGACUUGCUGCACAGAGCUCCGCCAUGGCAGGCUGGCCCUGUCGGCCACUUCUGUCCUCACUCCACAGUUCCCUGCAGCGUGGCUUUCCUCACUCCCCACUGAGCCUGAGCGCCGACAGCUCUCAGUAGCUCUCAAAUGUAAGUCAGAGUCCUGGCAUUCCUGCCCAAGGGCCCCAUGUCCCGCACCCUCUGGGCCGCCCAGCCCUGACCAGGCAGCACGUUUCCCCGCCCCCUCCGCUGCUGCGGUCCACUCUCCUCCCCGCUUUGACUCCCUUCUCUGCCUGACUUCCUCCUCUUCUCUCAGGGGCUCACUAGGGAUCUGCCUCACACGUCCACUGUCAUUCUCUUCCAUGGCAACCGUGACGUUCCUACUUGCACACACACCCCGGGCUCCAUCUCAGCAGUUCCACGCCAUCAUCACGUGCUGGUGCUUUUCUGGUCAGAAACAUCUGCAUCUCAAGUUCCUACCUCUUUGAAGAGCCAGUGCCCGGCGGAUGUUUACUAUAAAUCUGUACAGCAAUAAACAGGACCACACAGCCACAGGAAUGCACAAGAAACGGAGCUAUUCCCUGUGCCUCCACCUGGUGCAUGCCCCCGCCCCCAGCCGAGAGAGGUAUAACUGUGCAUGGCCCCUGCCUGCUGGCACUGGGGAAGAAGCACGGCUACUGCGGCCUCUGCAGCCAGCAGCACACCGCCACAUUAACUGCCACACUAACCGCCACAGUAACCGUCACGUGUGAAAAGCAAAGGAGAGUUCAGCAAGAAAAUGAAAGAUAGAGGCUAAUGUGUGCUCAGAAAGAGGAAGGGGAAAUACUUAGAACAUAAAGAAGAACUUCCACAGCCCUAGUAUUCAGGAUCGUCACCCGCACACCAGGAUGGUCACACACUAGUGGAGCUGUGGUACCCUGAGCCCCUGCCGAGAGUGUCCUUUCUCAACACUAAAGAACCUUCAUAAGGACUAACUGAAAGAAGAGAUUCAAGAUUGCUGCACAGAGCCUGGAGAGGGGAGGUAGCCAGCCACGUGAAGGAGUUAUUUUAAACAAAUUAUUUUCAUGGUAUUGGGGGUAUCUGGGACGACCAGCUCUGUGGUCUGCUUUCUGCGCUUAGCCUGACUCUGAGCAUAUCCCCACCCUUCGUGUCUGAAAUGCUUUCUUAAUUAUACAGGUAACAAUGUUUAGACAAAAGUUAGAAAAUACAAACAAGAUAGCUUAUUGCUCCACUUUAAGAAUAAGAUGGUAAUAAACAUUAGUGAUACCCUCAUACAUUAUUGGUAGGAAUGUAAAAUUGGUCCUGCUCCCAUUUUGGAAAACAGUCUAGAAAUUCUUCAAAUGGUUAAACAUGGGAUCAUCAUAUGAUCCAGCUAUAUCCACUCUUUACUAUGUACUUAAUAAAAACGAAAACUUGUAUGUAACAGUUGGCAAGUACAAACAGCCCAAAUGUCCACCAGGGAAGAAUGAAUAAGUAAAAUGUAAUAUAUAUAGAUGCUGAAAUAUUAUAUAGACAUAAAGACCAGUGAAGUCCUGAUUAUACGCUAUGGUAUAGAUCUACCUUGAAAACAUUAUAUUUAAAUAUAAGAAGUCAGUUACAGAGGACCAUAUACUGUGUAAUUCCAAUUUUUAUAUGAAAUGUCUAAAAUAGGCAAGUCCAGACAUAGAAAGGAAAAUAAGGUUGUGGGCCCGGGGUUAACGAAAAUGUUCUAGAAUUGUGGUGAUGAGUGCAUAACUCUGGGAAUAUGAUAAACAUCACUAUGUACCUUAAAUAGAUAAAUGAUAUGAUAUGUGAAGUAUAUCUCAAUCAAGUUGUUAAAAAAUAAACAAGAUCAGAACAUCUGAACUCAAUGCUUAGACAUAUCCAUGUUAGGUACUCUAAGGAGUCUCUUUCAUGAACAUAUAGGUCAACAUAUAUGUCUAUAAAACAGUCAUUGUUACAGUUCUACCACCUCCUUUUCUCACUGAAUAUAUAUCAGUAAUUAUAGUUCUCCAUCACCACGUUUAAUCACCAUAUAGUAUUUUAUUAUAAGGUUACAAAAGAGAUAUAGUCAACAAACUCCCAUGAUAAGGCACACAGGCUGCUUCUAGGCUUUGUGUUAGAUAAGCUCCCCUCCCCCAGCAUAACCAGAAGGCCCGAUGGCCUCUCAAGACUAAACAGACAGGUAACUGCCUGCUUAUGCACUAGGUGCAAAGACAGUCAUAAUUGUAAACUUUAAAAGCUACUAUGCUUUCACAUUAUUCUUGCUCAAUAAAGCUGUUAUUUAAUAACAAACAGAAGCCUGUGAGAUGGCUCCAGGGUAAAGGGCCUGCUGUUCAGCCAGACAACCUGAGUAUGAUCUCCAGGGCUCAUAUAAUUAAAAAGAGGGAGCCAACUCCAAGUUGUCCUCUGACCUCCACAUACACACUGUGCAUGCCCACACCCAUGUCCACAAACCCACAACUCCCAACACCCAUGUCAGAUAGCUCACAACUGCCUGUAACUCCAACUCCAGGGGAGUCUGAUGCCUCUGGCUUCUGCAGACACCUGUACACAUUCCACACCACCGCCACCACCCGCCGCCACCGCCGCCACCACCACCCCCCGCACAGACAUAAUUAAAAAUAAAAAUAAAACCCUAAAAAACAAAAGAGUGGCUGGUGAGGUAGCUCAGCUGGCAGAAAGUACUUGGGAGACAGAAGCAGGCAGAGAUCUACACAGCCCACGCCUGGUCUACACAGUGAGUUCCAGGCCACCAUCCAAUCAAAUAGUUUGCUUAAUUUUGAGCAUUUACGUGGCUCUACAUUUAAGCUUUUAGUUUAUUGGUGGCUAUUUGGGGUAGGGAGGGAAACUGGGGUACAUUAAUUUCUUUUCCAACUAAGUAAGCCGUUGUCAUGGUCCUAUUCACAGAAACCUCACUUUUUCAUGUUGAUUGAACACCAUGUUGACCAGGUCCCAGGCUUUAAAUAGACUCUGGCCUGUUUCUAGACUUUACACGAGUUUGUGACUUAGCAGUGACAAGGCUGCUUCUUAGAACACGUCUCCCUCUACUUCACCACCUCUAUCCCACAUUCCCCCUUCCUGUCACAGUUUUUCUCUUUUCCUCUGUAAUGCACAUCUCCGUUGGCUGUCAGCUAGAACAAGGCAUGAUGGGAGAUGAGAAGGGUGUAGAGCCUUAGACAGAUGCAGGACAGUCUUGGGAGCCACAUCUGGAGUCUGGACUUCACCUUGAACUUAGUGGAGUAUUCAAGACGCAGAGGUUAAUGGGAGUUACAUGUUAUUUCAGUGUGAAAAACAGACAAGAGGAAGUCAGGGCUAACUGUAGGGAGACUGACUCAUGGAUUCCAUAAUCCAGGCACAAAGCAGUGAGUGACCUUACUCUAAGAGGAAGGUAAGAGAAGCCAUGAGGCAGGGGUGAUGGGAGGCAGUGAGGAACAAGACCUGGGGGUGGGUAACGGAGCCCCAGGGUUUCAACGCAGGACUGUACGCUGGCACUACUGUGUCCACUAUGCUAGGGCACCGAGGAGGAAAGUUGGAAGUCAGCUCCAUUGGGGAGAUGGGGAAAGAAAACAAUUAUGGUAUUAGAAAUGUAAAUCACGGUCAAGUGUGGUGGGCACACACCUUUGAUCCCAGCACUCAGGAGACAGAGGCAGGUGGAUCUCGGUGAGUUCGGGAACAGUCUGUGAUACACAGUGAGACCCUCCAAACAGAUAAAUACAUCAGUGCACGUGAGUGAUGAAUGAAUGAACACUGUCAGCUCCCUGUGAGCUCCAAGCUGAGUCAGGUAACUUCUCUGAGCUCACUUUCCACACCCAGCCUUUAGACAUCAUUCUGCCUAUGAAGCGCUUCUCUUUCCUACAUAUGGAGCCUUGUACUGGUCCCUACAAAUUGUAACACAAAUUGUAAUGCUUUUUACCCACCUCAGGCAUAUACAUAGAGAACAGCCUCUCUCUUUGAUCCUCAAUAAAGAAAAUGUUAAAUAGUCAGACAUAGGGAUGCAGAAUAAAGAGAAUGGCUGGUUUUAUUUUCCAUCUGUGAACCUGGUAGUAUUUUAAAACUUUUUCUUACUUGUUCUACAAAUAUCUAGGCUUCUACUCAUUUCUUAAAAAAAAAAAAGAAAAGAAAAGAAAAGAAAAAAUCUCAGCUUCACAUGGUGGCAUAGCGUUAUAAUCCAAGCACUCAGGACUCUAAGUAAUGAGGAUUCCAAGUUCAAGCUACCCUGGGGAAUAGAGUAAGAUCCUGUCUCAAAACAAAAGAAAUUCUUCAUCAAAAACAAAUUCUAACCAAGCAUGGUGGCUCAUGACUGCAAUACCAGCAGUUGGGAGACAGAGGCAGGAAGAUCAGGAGUUCAAGGUCAACCUCAGCUACACAGCAAGUUCCCAUGCUACAUGAGAUCCUGUCUCAAACAAAAAGAGAAUUAAUGACAAAAUUGGCAUUGUAGAGUAGGAAAAAGUAUCAGUUGCCAGAGAAAAAUGGCAAUAUUUUGGGUAUAGCAUAUUCAGAGUAUUUCCCCCUUAGAACACAAAACAAAAAAUUCAGUAUGUGUGAUUUUGUAUCUUACUGUUUUCUCAUUUACUACUGCUUUGAGGCCUCAUGUUUUAACAGGAGUCAUUCAAACUCUAGUCAGUAACAUGACCACUCAUUAGUCUGCUGUUGGGGAGUACUCCUUUACACUGUGAGAAGAUAGGUCACAGUGACUGGUUUAAUAGUAAGCUAAACAGCCAACAGCUGGCAGGAUGUGGGGGGCAGAGAGAAUGCUGGGAAGAAGGGCAGAGAAGCCAGACAGACACGGAACAAGUCAGACACACAAAAUGGGAUAGAGGUAAAAGCCACGUGGUAGAACAUACAUUAAUUAAAAAAAAAGGGGUUAAUUUAAGUUAUAAGAGCUAGUUAGGAAGAAACCUAAGCUACUGACUGAGGUUUCAUAAUUGAUAAGUCUCUGUGUCAUUUAUUUGGGAGCUGGCUGGCAGGACAGAGAAAGACUAGCUACAGUCUGCCUGAGAAGCACUGGCAGCCUCGCAUCCAUCACAUCUUUAAAAUAAAAUGUAUGCCUAGAGGCCAGAGUCCACAUUGGUACUUCCUCAACUGUUCUCCAUGGUGUGUUUUGAGUCAGGGGCUCUCACUGAACCUGGAACUCCCUGACGUGGCUAGACUUCUGGUCAGCAAACCUCAGGGAACCUUCUGUCUCUUCAGUACUGGGAUUACAGGCACACCCAGCAGAAAGACACACACACUUGCAGAAAGACCCAUGCCCUCGUUCCUAAACAGAAAGUGGGGGUGUGGUCUGCAGUUCUUGAAGGAGUAAAACAGAACAGAAGCCAAUGUCAAGCUAUGUGAGGGGUUUUAAUUUUUGUUUCAUUUUAUGGUGCUCAAGGGAGACCUUGUUCUCAUUUUUUAAAACUGGUACCGGUAAAUCCUGUCACCCACUUUAUGAAAAACGCCUCAGAAUCGGUUCCCAGUGUCUGAAUGCUGCGUGCAGCAAAUAGUCACAAACGUGUUUCCUUGACUGUGCUUCAUUUCAGAACGAAAAUACGCCUCAUGACAGAUACUGGUUUCCUUCGCCACAUGCCCAGCAUUUCACAGAACAGACAGAACUGAGCCAUCUAUCGGGAGAGUCGGCUCCUGUAUAACCAUCACCAUAAAUGUACUUUCCCGGGAAUGUUCUGUCAGGGACUAGAAGGCUGUAGUUCCCUCAAGACCCAGCCACUUAUAAUUAAAUUAUAGACAAUAAUUUUAAGUGACUUUUGAACCACGUCCUCUCAUGUGGCUGCUGGGCUCUGCACAUGGCAAGCAUUUUCCUGACGGCCAACCCACACCUCUCCUGCUUUAACUGGUGUCAGCUAUGAUGGCCAAAAGCUCUUGGCUUGCAAGUUCUCCCUGGGGUCUGGAGGGCGUUUUAGCAGACAG
Molecule: long non-coding RNA, 10591 nt
Organism: Peromyscus californicus insignis
Lineage: Eukaryota; Metazoa; Chordata; Mammalia; Rodentia; Cricetidae
Exons: 3
Source: RefSeq, a predicted model, not a curated record